CCUACGGGAGGCAGCAGUGAGGAAUAUUGGUCAAUGGGAGAGAUCCUGACCCAGCCAAGCCGCGUGAGGGAAGACGGCCCUAUGGGUUGUAAACCUCUUGUGUCGGGGAAAAAAACCCGGGACGUGUCCCGGACUGCGUGUCUCCGAAGAAAACGCAUAGGCUAACUCCGUGCCGGCCGCCGCGGAAAUACGUCGGGGGCGCGCGUUAUCCGGAUGUACUGGGUGUAAAGGGCGCGUAGACGGUUCUGCAAGUCUGACGUGAAAGCCCGUGACUUAACCGCGGAACGGCUUUGGAAACUGUGGAACUGGAGUGCUGGAGAGGCAAGCGGAAGUCCUAGUGUAGCGGUGAAAUGCGUAGAUAUUAGGAGGAACACCAGUGGCGAAGGCGGCUUGCGGGACAGUAACUGACGUUGAGGCUCGAAAGCGUGGGGAGCAAACAGGAUUAGAUACUCUGGUAGU
Molecule: ribosomal RNA, 459 nt
Filed under: uncultured bacterium
Lineage: Bacteria
Description: partial 16S ribosomal RNA
Rfam family: Bacterial small subunit ribosomal RNA
Source: RNAcentral